This is an RNA transcript of Hippoglossus stenolepis (Pacific halibut), 15997 nucleotides long. It is a transcript of the gene named v-maf avian musculoaponeurotic fibrosarcoma oncogene homolog a (paralog a), with no coding region annotated. The transcript has 5 exons. The record is from RefSeq and is a predicted model, not a curated record. NCBI's taxonomy places the organism in Eukaryota, Metazoa, Chordata, Actinopteri, Pleuronectiformes, Pleuronectidae.
UGCAGGUUACUAAUAUGUUAAUUAGCUCUCGCAGUGUGCGACCCUAUUGGCUCUUCGUCCGAGUCAAUUUCCCAUUUGCAGCCUGACGUCAGGGCCGCUCCAAAGCUCUUAAACUCAUCUGCUGUGUGAUCCCUCUAAAAAAUCGCCCCACCAGUCAGCGGCUUCCAACGUGCGCGGCUGCCUCUCGCCCCCUCUCUCUCUCUCGCCGCUUGUGCAAUGUCUCCCUGAAGAAAAGCGUAAAGUGUUAAAUGUUUGAAACACAAAACCGCCGAGUUUCACAUGCUGAAAAGGGACUCCGCUGCUCGUGCGCGCGGCACCGCUGUGUCCGUGCGUUAGACUCCGCACCACAGAAAAACUCCUGCGCUCUGACGCCCGCGAGUCCGCGGCUGCACCCGGGGACCAAGAAAAGCUCGUUUUUCACUCUCCAGACAAACGCGUAAAAAUCAAACUGGCUCACGUUGUUCCCAACCAGCCCAGUUUGACAGCUGCUCUUCACCCCGCUUGGAGGACUGUCAGCAGCAGCAGCAAGAGGAUGGCAUCAGAGCUGGCAAUGAGCAACUCCGACCUGCCCACCAGUCCCCUGGCCAUGGAAUAUGUUAAUGACUUCGAUCUGAUGAAGUUUGAAGUGAAAAAGGAGCCGGUGGAGCCCGAUCGCAACAUCAGCCAGUGCAGUCGCCUUAUCGCCGGGGGAUCCUUGUCUUCCACCCCGAUGAGCACGCCUUGCAGCUCGGUGCCCCCUUCCCCAAGCUUCUCGGCGCCCAGUCCGGGCUCGGGGAGCGAGCAGAAGUCACACAUAGAGGAUUUCUACUGGAUGUCCGGUUACCAACAGCAGUUGAAUCCAGAGGCGCUGGGCUUCAGCCCCGAAGACGCAGUCGAGGCGCUGAUCAACAGCAGUCACCAGCUCCAGUCGUUCGAUGGCUAUUCCAGGAGCCAGCAGUUCGCUGGCGCAGCCGGGGCAGGAGGCACCAUGGCCGGGGAAGAGAUGGGGUCCGCCGCGGCGGUGGUGUCGGCGGUCAUCGCUGCGGCGGCGGCUCAGAACGGAGGGGCACACCACCACCAUCACCACCACCACCACCACAGUGGCGGCCACCAGGGGCCCGGCGGCCAGAGCAACGGCAUUUCUGGCUCAAAUCAAGCACACUUGCGCCCGGAGGACCGGUUCUCGGACGAGCAGCUGGUGACCAUGUCGGUGCGGGAGCUCAACCGGCACCUACGGGGGGUCAGCAAGGAAGAGGUGAUCAGAUUGAAACAGAAGAGGAGGACCCUAAAGAACAGAGGCUACGCGCAGUCCUGCCGCUACAAGCGGGUCCAGCAGCGGCACGUCCUGGAGGGAGAGAAGACGCAACUCAUCCAGCAGGUCGAGCACCUAAAGCAGGAGAUCUCCAGGCUGGUCCGGGAGAGGGACGCGUACAAAGAAAAGUAUGAGAAGCUCAUCAGCACCGGCUUCAGAGAAAAUGGAUCCAGCAGCGACAACAACCCUUCAUCCCCGGAGUUUUUCAUGUCAUCGAGAAAAUUCCUCCAUCUGUGAUUUCAAGCCCCGCUCCUCUGUGCCCUUGGCUUCCUGAGUCUGGCCCGUCGUAGUCCCCUUCUGUCCUUUGCGUCUGUCUCAACCCACAGCAGCAGACUUCACAGUGGGCACAGCAGAUCAAGGUCACUAUGUAGCUGUGGUUACGUUGCCCCUCCCCCCAAAAAACAAACCGCCCCUCCCUCGGCUGACGGCCCCAAUGACAGAGAAGGUAGACUCCAGCCCAGGUAAUCACAGCUUGUAGGUGUCUGUGCUCGGAAUCGUUGCUUCUCCUUGAGUGUGUGUGUGUGUGUGUGUGUGUGUGUGUGUGUGUGUGUGUGUGUGUCUCCUUACACACUGUGAGAGGAGAUGACUGAAGUGUAUCCCACUGAGUUGGAGUGAACCUGAAAAAAAAGCUGGGCCCUUUUUCCUGCUCUGAUCACAGAGUAGGUGUGUCGCUGGCUACAGGCGGUUGCCAUGUGUUUAUCAUCACAGGAUGUCCUCUCACAAACAGGCUCAAACUUUGUUAGCCUCUCGCUAACUCACACUCACAUCAAGUAGCCUAUUAUCCUCUACAUUCUCCUGCUCACGCCAGCAGAUAACUACUGUUUAACUGUACACGUAAUCACAUAUGAGUUUGCAUCAGUUGUCAGCCAUUACUGUACCUAUACUUAACAUUAUUUCCUAUAAAAAAUACAAUAUAUAUACAACUGAUUUGAUUGGUAAAUAUGUAUGAAUGGCAUUUGAAGAGUUUAUUUUUGACCCACGAAGAUCGAGGGGGACAAUUCAAAAGCACAGGCAUUUGAGAUUGUAGUAGGCAUCCUGUCAAGCGUGUUGUUAAGUUUAGGCAACUAAAGUAUUUGAUGAAGUUCAGGAAAAGGAGGUUGUUUUGCUUCAGGCAUUUGUUUUUGGGGAAAUACACUUAUUCACUGUGUUGCCAAGAGUAAAAUGAGAAGUUCUAUUCUGCUCUCAUAUCUCUCUGCUAAAUAUAACGUAGUUUAGCUUUACUUAAAGAUCGGAAACAGCUAUUGGCUGAAGGUAACAAUAUCAGCCUCGCAGAACCUCUCCCCUUAACAAGUUGUUGUGUGGUGUUCAUUAAAUCCAAGUGUGAAAACUUCAGGUCAGCAAUAAAUAUUCAUUAUCCAAGAUGUACAGGUUAACCUUAGCCAAAUGCAUUUUGUUGCUUUAACAUGAAUUCAUGUUUUCUUGUAUAAGACAUUUGAAAAUCUGUUAAAUGAAACAUUGGGAAAUUAGGAAACUUGUCUAACCGCUCAGCUUCGACAAAAGUUUACAAUCGACUGUGUCCUCUCACAUGAAGUGUCAACCAGACGCCUUGUGUGUCAGACCCCUGUCUCCCAUCACUCCCCUUUAAGUUCUUCCUCCAGCCUGUCGACUCCAGCGCUGACCUCCUCUCUGAGGGUGGCCAGCCCAGGCUUGGCCUCUCCUCUGCCCCACUGCAUUAAACAUUGAUGGAGCUGUAAGAGAAGGCUGGAGCCUGUCUCCUACUGUGGUCUGGCCCUUGCCUAUAGCCCGUCUCGUCUCUGGCUGUAACCUGUCUCCUUUCAAUUCUCUCUCCCUCCUAUUUUCUGCGAUUUAUAUCUUUGCUGUUGCUGUAGUUGUUUGAAUGUGGUCUAACGACGGUGUCUGCAGCCAGCGCUGUUCGGUGCAAGGAGACACAUCAGAUCUCAAGAAAUGAGAGUGAUAAGUGUCUGUUUGUGCCUGUGGCCAGUUGCAGAGCAGUGAGACACGACUUCCUAGAAAUGGCUGUGUGAGUGUCUAUUUGAUUCCUGUAUUUGCAUCACUGUGUGGUGCAUUUAUGUUGUGCAUUAUGCGUUUUACCACAAGCACAGCUAUAUGAAAGGAAGUGGUAGGAGACACAAGACGGCAAUACUUUCCUUCCUUUAUCUCUCUCUCUGUGUGUGUGUGUGUGAGUGUGUGAGUGUGUGUUCCAGUACUGCUGAACAUUAUAUCAACAAUUUACUGCGACUUUAUUCUCCCAAAACAUAGAUGUGUGCCUAAUCAUUACACAACAAUAUAUUAAUAUAAUACUUAUUAUAAAAUAGAUUCUAAACAAGUGUACACACAAUUCUAAGUAUUAAUAAUUAUAAAUUGGAUUUGUUCAGUGGAUGCUAGAAAAAUCCCCAGAGCCAGCAGUGACGAGCCAAACACUCACAGAUCCAAGAGGGAUUCAGUUGCCUCGACCCCACCUCAUCCUUACCCCGCGGAGCCCCCUACCGCCCCCCCAACAGAUCUGCCCCACAACCAACAAGUGGUGGAGUUCAGCAGCAUACCAGACCUGAUACUGAGUCCGGUUAGGACUGUAACAUGUAUUUAUAGAGUGCAAUGUGAGCAGGUUACGGGUAUUAGAAUGUGAGAGAAUGAGACGUUGUAAUCUAGCAUGUGUGAGAAUCGAUGUCUGGUAUUUGUUAGUGAGAAUGAACAAGUUCUUUGGGAAAGCACAUCUUGUGUGUGUUUGUGUGUUUAAACAUGGCUGAAGCAGGAUUGUGUUCAUCAGAAACGUCUGAUUGAGUGGCCACAAGGCAUGAUGGCUCUAGACAAUGUGGCAGACUCAUGUGUUGGGUCCUGAGAAAGUAUAUGGCUUCAGCCCCUCUGCCAUUAACCCACCACACAGCCCUCAGGCAAACUUAGAGUAAGCAUACUCCCUGUUCUGAACUACACAAAGUAGAGAUGUGAUACAUCCUGCAAGCACCGUGCAACACAAGAGCAGCACUCUUUAGAAAAUGAUAUAAUGAUGUGCUGCAAACACAAAGGAGAUGAAAAGGUUAUAAUUGCAUUACAUUGUUUCCCUCAGUUGAUGAACUACAUUUAUUAUUUUUCCACCAAGAACAAUCCGAUAUGAUAAAAUCAUCUGAACUGGCAAAACUACGCUUUAAAGAUACUCAUUAAUUUGAGGCGCUCAGACCAGUUGUCUGCUUUCAAGAAGAGAGAAUCACAUGAGAAUAAUCCUGAGUAAAAUAAUCACAGCUCUGAGCAACAGCAAACGGGGAUGAAUAAAUAAGGCUGACUAAAUAAAUGAUCAGUGAUUGUUUGGCUCUAAGUGCUGUUGCCGUAGCUCAGCAUCCUGAUUUAGUCGAAGCCUUCAGCCAUCCCUCAGUGGAGCUAUGGUCUUAGCGGAAGAGAAACAGCUAAAAAGCCCCAUUCUUCUUCAUACCUUCAAUAUUCAAUGAGAGCGCUAAUUGCACCACGCUGAAAGAAAGAAAAAAGUGUGGGGGGGGAGAAGUGGGAAGGUGGGAGGGAUCUACCGGCUAAUGGUCCGUAGGGGGAAAAUAAAGGAGAGAGGAAAAAGGGGGGAUUUAAGAAGUUAGACAUAUCCUCAGGAGGUUCCUUUCACUGUGUUUUUACCUGUGCGUCUCUUAGCUAUAAUGCUAAUGCUCAUUAGCCAGUCUGUGUGAUAUCCGCCGGUUCACGGCUACUGUUAGCGACCGUCACCGGGAGCACUGUGGUGAAGCGAGUGCAUCCAGUGGUUACACACGCGCUGCUCUGUUGUCAGCCGGAAUCCAACGCCAGCCUUUUUUUCUUUUUCCUUUUUCCUCCUCCUUUCUUGUUUUACCUCAAAAGUUAGUUGAAAAGAUAUCUUGGAAUAUAUUCGCUCAAGGUGCACCCAUUUGUGAAGAAGAAUUGGGGGAUGCAUAUGCAUUAAAAAGUCUUUGUGAGUAUAAAAUGCCGGCUCAGCACUUUAGCCUCCCCUCAUCCUUCCACUCCAGUUCUCCCUUUAAUCUUAGGCUGAGUUAUAAUACAAUAAGUCCUAUAAUCAUUGGAUCUCCUUCUCUCGACUUACCUGGGAUAAAUGGAUACGUUUAAACAGAGAGGUGGGGAAAAAGGGGAAAAACAAAAUGAUGCAAACUUAUAUUAAUCAUUAUAAAAAGAACGACAGAAAAAGUAAAAUAUGGUUUAAUGAUUUUUUUCCAAGUGAAUAUUCCACUUCUGACCACAAGGGACAGCGUGCACAGGGCUGUCUGUCUCAGGUACCAGGCUGCGGCGUCUCCUUCUCCUCUCCCACCACUGUCAGCCCCUUUCACUGUCCCCCGGUAUAACGGCAACUGAAAUACUGCUGAUUGGAAGUUUCUCUCAUAAAUCAUGCCAUCCACCAAACAAAGCAAUAAAGAUGUUUGUUUGCAUUAUUGAAGGAAAAGUAUUGCCUGAGGUCAGCUUUAAGCAGCCGUGUGUGCAUGCUCUCUUAAAAAUACAUGUUCACCUGGGUGUGUGCUUUGCCAAGUAGUUUUUGCGCGAAAAAAAAAAGUAAUUUGCUUAAGAAAAGCAGAUUUUGUUGAGUUCACUUUCUCGGUUUUUCGCCCCCAUGCAGGAGUAAUAGUAUUUUUGAUUGCUCAGCCAAUCAGAAAUCAGCUGAAUGUGGGAGUUUCAUUGUGGAAGCGGUGGUGGGGGUGAGAGGAGGUAUAUACUGGAAAUAUUUGUUUGGCUUAAUGCCUGAGCUUGUGCAUGACAGUUUGUGCCCUUUUAACGUUUCAGUUCUGUUUUUGGGGAUCAUUUACAACUCAAUCAUUUUAUAACAGCCUGUUCGGUGGUAUUCAUAUUGAUCUCAGCGGGUGCCACGUUCAGGCUCAUAAACAGACUUUACCUGAAGUGUACUCUUUCUGGGCCUUCAGAUCUUUUAUUUUGUCUUUCUUUCACUUUUCAUCUUCUUCUCUUUCUGCAGUUUGUCUCAUCCAGUUUCCUAUAUUGUGUUUUUAGUGCACAAAUAAAAAUACAAAUGAUUCUUACAAUUGAUAUCAUGUAAAAAAAACUCACAUAACCAUCUAACCUCAGACGCAAGCACAGCACUCUCUGGUCAUUUUUCUUGAUUAACUGUACAUGAAUUAAUGAAACUAAGUACAUUUUCUACAAGCUCAUCUGACACCUAAUGUCGAUGGCAUAUUAUCCAUUUAAUAACCUGGCGGGAGUCAGGACACACACACAUUACCUGUGUGAGAUCUUUUUCAAAUGAUUACUAAUUAGAGAGCAACCCAACCCAGGUCUCUAUCAACAGUGUCCUCUGCUCAGCUGGUCAGUCAACAGCAUUCCAGCUUAAGCUUGAACCUGGUACACUCAUUAAAACUAAACCCAAGUAUUUGGUUUGCGGUCAUGAAGCCUUCAAGCGAUUCCUCACUGCUUGUGUGUGUGUGUGUGUGUGUUUGAUGAAAGCGUAUAGCUCUGUCCCCAGUUGCUGUAACUUAAACUGGUCCACGAGAGUCUGUUCUGGACUCUUGACUCUACUCUUGUGGCCUUCAAGCAUGCAGCACUUCAUUCUGAGGAGGAUUUCUGCUUUGCGAGGCCAACACACUCCUGUCUGACUGAGGUAGUUCCUGAAGAAGACCAACAGUUCUCCAGUUUCCCCCUUGAGGGAGUUAAAUCGCAAAGCUUCAGGUCACAGAGACAUUUUAAAGGUUUAAAGGAAAUGGGCCUCAUUGCGAGUAGAGGACGUGCAGUGGAGAGAGUUACAUAAAUGACGGAUAGUAAAUGGCUUCCUAGAGGGCUGCUGCAGAGUGAGGGGAUAACCUACCGGCUGAGCAGUGAUGACAUCGCGUCGGCUGACCAAUCGCAAGAAGGCACCUACAAAGCACAACAAUAGAAAAUGACUUCACGGAAGAACAAAAGAAGAGACCCGCUGAAAUCCCUCGAAAUCCCUACAGCGAAAUUCUUGAAAGCCUCUUACUACUCCCGUUUCCCUACUUGAUAUUUUACAUCCAGCUUUUUUCUACAAAACACACUAAAAAAAAAAAGAAAAAAGAAAGAGGACUCGUACUAAUGACAUUGUUGACAACGCCAGACAUUGGAGGAACUAUUUUCUCUAGGUGGGAAGAUCACUGAUGCAUGCUUCUGUAAAUAGAUCAUGAUAAAAACCCUAUUCUUAUUCCUAAUAUAGGAAGUAUACCAAGUCGCUCUCACCAACUUCAUAAACCUUCACGACUGUGGAUAGAGUACUCAUGGUUCAUUUUUUUUCCUAUAUGAAGUCAGUAUUCUCCUUACCUCCUCAGAGACCAUGUAAUUAUCAUUUCCCUCAUCAUUUCUCUACUCGUUGGAGUUAGUUGGACUGAAAAAUUGUACUUCCUCUUCGUCUUAUUCUCUUUACAAAACAGCCUAGUCUUCCUCUCCAAUAUCCACACAAGUACAUGUAAAUAGAGAUGAAUGACGACAACAGCAUGGAACAGACCAUAGUGUAUAUGUACCACUCCCCUCGUAGAUCACAAAUCUCAGUAUGUGGAUAUUUCAGACAACCUUUUUAAAGCGUUUAAAAUAUUGAACUUGUUUUUCUGAUAGUUAAAGACAUACUCCCAGGUAUCUGGACAUUUUCCUGUGUAUAUGAAUAGAUGCAUAAAGGCAGUAGCUAUAGAUAAUGUGGUUACUUGACUACCUGGCAAGAAUAAUAAGGCAGCAAUUCUUCUGGUUUCAUCACUGAACGGUCAAAGUGAAGAGGAAAAGCAGGCUGUUCACCUGAGCCAUGUGUCCUUUCUAAACCUUUUUUUAAACAUUUAAAAUUUUAUAGUAUUGUAAUUUAUUAUUUUCUCUCAGAAGCUAUCUACUUAUUUUUCUGAUUGCAAUAACUCCCUUCCCCAUCCACAUACAGUAUUUGGGUUGGAACUGCUGUAACCGUCAGCCUGAGAGGACACGUUUUUUUCUUUGCAUGGUUUGAAACGGUGCUCUAACAAGGAGCCUGCACAUCGAAGAAAAGGAACUCAUCACUGAUUGCAACGUAGACACGAGGACUCCGACCUCCGUCUCCUAUGGAUUCUCAAGAAGACACAAAUGGACAGACAGAUAAUAUGCCAAGCCAAUGAACAGACAACCUCAAAGGUUACCACUCUCACUAGUGAAGACAGAGCAAACCUUUGCAUGGACAACAGGGAAAAUGCUAGCUCGUUGAACACCUCAGCUCCAUCACCGUGCAUCCUCUACCUCUCAGUGUGUAUUGUGCAACAAGAAACCAUGACUUUUUUCAGUGUCCCCGCUACUGUCCGCACAGCAGUGGGGACACACAGAGGGGGGAGUCGCUCAGAGCUGAAUUGCACUGAUGGACAAACACGGCAAUGGGGAAGACAAAAACAUUUACUCACUUUGACUCAAACACACACACACACACGAGUGCAUGCAUACAGAUGCACAAUCAUACACAGCGCCACUCGAAUAUAUUGCUGUAUAUAUGUACAGUGUAUCCACUAUGUAUAGUCCCAGAUGCUGUACUUUGCAUGUUGACUUGUAGAUGGAACGUGACCAUUAUUCAUAGAAGAGAUUGAGCAGGUAGACCGAGUCAGUGGGUUGACUCUCUGAACCAAUGCAAGCUCUUUGUCAGCUUUACAUCCCCUCACUUUGCUUUUGGAAAAUGUAUGCUAACAUGACUGAAAUCGUUUGACCGCUCCCGAUCCUCUUGUGCAAGGUCCUCGUCAGCCAAACGGUGAUGCUGAUGGGUUUUAAACCCUUUAGAAGGGACACAUAACCUGCCUCUGAUGACAGACAGAACCCAGCCACAGUGAGCGUGGGUAGGAGAAGAGGAGAUGGAAGGCAAACUGGGGCGCUCCAAUUAAGUGGCAGCACACAAAGUGGCAUGGGGCAUCCUGCCAGCAACUGUCUAUUCAUCCUAUGUCAAAGGGAUUUGCACAUCUCAAUGAGUCUACGCGCUGCCAGAGAAGUCCGAGAGCAGAGCAGAGGAGAGCAGAGAAAUGAAAGCGAGGCUCAAGGGAGAGGGUCGAAGAGAAAAAUGUGUGGAUUUCUACCAAAAAUGUUAGAUUGUACUGGACUCAUGUUCAAGUAUUCUCCUGCUCUUUCCACAUAUAGAAUCUUCUGUUCUUGGAGAGUUCAAUAACCCCUCGACCUCAGACGGUUACACCAUCAUGCGGCUCUCUAGACUGUCAAGACCUCACGUGCUGUCGGAGGUUAACGUUGAGUUAAUGAGCCUGGCUCUCAGCUCAACCAGAUGUUCAGCCUUGUGGUUAAAUACCUGUUACCCUUCUCUCGCGCCUGCCAACUACAGCUGAACUCUUCCUGGACACAGCAUCAUGAACAGCUUCACCAAGUAACAAAUGAUGAUGUGGGAGCAACUUCAAAGUGUGUAAAACAAGUUUCUUUUUUGACUGAAGAUAAUUAAAAUGCAAUCUACCAGCAGACACAAAUUACCAAGGAAAACAGUCACUGUAUCAGAAGACAUGUGGAUACAUACUCCGUAUUCCCCUUCCUGCAGCCGAUUUACAUGAAAAAAAUCUCCUUAAAUCAUAUACUGUCAGAUCACAUUCAAUCAUAAGAGCGUAUUUACAGUCAACAUGUAAACAAACUUCAAAUCAAGACUUAUGACUUAGAGGUGAUUAGUUAAAGCAGAUUUAAAAUACAGGAAGGAUGAAGAUGUCACCCAAACAUGAGAAAAUAGUAUGUGGUAGAAAACAAGACACUGAGCAAGAGCUGAUCUUCUCUGAGCCUCGAGGCUUUUCACUUUCUCAGAAAUGAAACAAAGCCCCAUUUCUGUGCAGCUGCAGGCUAUUUGUGACAGGUCGGUUUGUUUUCAUAUGGUUUUGCAUGUAAGUGCUCUGGUGCUUUGCCCUGGUAGUCAGGCAGCCAGUGCACUUUUAUCUGGCAAUGACCCUGACCAAUGUAAGGACACAUAUGUAAACAUGCACAGAUGUUCAUAUCCAAAAUGUGUGAAAGUGGAUCCAAACGCAUAGAGGCACAUCCCUGCUCUUAUUUAACACACACACACACACACACACACACCACACACACCAUGCUAAUCUAAACAGCAAGGCUGUAUGUAAACAGAUUGUCGACAUAAUGGGAUUGUUCAGUGUGCAAACAAUAAGCUGUUAGCGUAAUCACAGGUCAAAGAUAUAUUACCCAGAGGGCCACGCUGUAGGUAUAUUAACAUGAUGGAUAUGUGGGAGAGAGGAGGGGGCAGGGGAUAUGAAGGAUAUAGAGCUCUACCGAUUCAGAUUUACCCCCUAUCGGGCCCCCGUCCGCUGCGAUUCUCUCCUCUGCCUCCCUCGUAUUGGCCCCAUUUAAUCAGCCUUUGUCCUUCCCCCAUUCGCCCACAUCUUACUUACACUCACUUCCUCCAUUUUUAUUUGUUUUUAUUAACAUUUCUCACCUCUAAUGCCUCAGUCCUGUCUCUUCUCCAUCCUUUAGAUGGAUAUAAUCUAUUUCAGCAAAGUCUGAGCAAGUAAGUUUCUGACGAACAAUGUGAUGAAUAGAACAGCUACACAGUUGAUUCAGAUAAUUCUACGUUAUACUUGACCAUGCCGAAAACAAGAGCAAGAGCGUCUCACUGCGUAUCAGCAAACAAGUGCUGUGUCAGUCAGGCUAAACCCUGUGCAGCUUACUCCAUUGCACAUACAGCUUAUUAACUUAUCUCUGCUUUAUUUGAUUACCAUCUAGCCCAAUCGCUCAACUGGUUAAUAAGUCCAUGUCGUCCUGACUAAACACUCCAUUAGUGUCAUCACUGGCAAGCUUGUGUGUGUACUGCAUACGUCUGUGGGCCAGUGGAGCGGAUACACUUUGGGCCCGAGUGACACAGAGUAAACACAGGAGCAGAACACUGGGAAGAAAAACAACCUGUAAGACACAGAAUAGGUACAAAGAUGGCCCGUCUAUUGAUGACGACAAUCAGGAACAACAUCAGGAACUUCUGCCUAUUUGGCAUUUAAGGCUUCUGUAGGAACAUCCCAUAUGUGAUGAAAUACAGUGGAGCUGCCAGUUGGAAGUCAAAUAUUUGAAUAAUCAAUCAAAGACCCUCAAGUGGAAGAUACAGGGUUAUUUUUGUCAGUCAGUGUCCAGUAUAUUUCUGAGGGCAUUUCAGUUCCCAGAAGUGGCUGCAGAGUGAGCGCUCCUCGUUUUUUCAUUGCACUACAUCAAGUCAUCCUGUCUGCUUUGUGAUCUUUGAUUUUUGUUUGACAUGUAGUUUCAGCAAAAAAUGUUGUUACACAUUUCCUAAGUUUUGUUGGCAUAGUUAGUGUGCAUCACCCCAGAGUGAGAACUUGGCCCGUUUGCUAUAUUACAUGAACAAAGCUGUCACCCCAAACAUCCCACCAAACCCUGUUCAAAAAGUUUGCAGCUUAAAGGAACAAAUUGUUGACUCUUAGUAUAUAAAAACUGUAGGUUUGGGCCUACAAUACAGUUUUGGAGGCAAACCAAAAAGGUCCACAAGGAUAAACUAAAUAGUUCAGGCAAACGGUUACUAAAUUUCAGCAUAGGAGGCCUAAGGGUAUUGUAGUAUUCAGAGCAGACCACCUUGUCAAACUGAAUGAAAACACUUAAGGGUAAAAUGUAUAAACUAGUGGCGAUAACAUAAACCUUUAGGAUCAUGAAAUCGUCCUGUGUUUCUAUGUGAAGUAAUGUUCACGAUAUUAAAAGUAUUUAAUAGAGAAAAAGAAUUAUGGAACGAUUAGCUCCUCUGACUUACACACAUACAUUAUCUGCCCCCCCUCACACACACACACACACACACAACGACACACAAACACACUCUGUGUCUCUUUGAAGAGUGGGGUGUCACGAUUAACAGUGACCUCAAGCCAGACAGGGUUGGGGUAGUGGGAGUGGGGCCAAAGGUGAAAGGAUUACAGUGUGUCAACCAUGUCGACUGCUCUGCUGUAAUCCUGACCUGCAGGCCGACCCCAGACUCUGGAAACAUGACUCACACGUCUCAGCUCAACAUGUUAUGAGUGUAUCACCAUAUUACUCACAGAAACACUAACUCGUUUGUACAUUUCAACAAAAAGGGGAUUUUAAGGCAUUUGUUUAAAUGCUUAAAAAAAGCCUAUGAAGUUGUAUUGGAUUUAGCACCAGAGAUACAUUGGAUGAGGGUUGAUCUAACAGCCAGACAGCAGCAAAGAUAGGGCAGACCUCCUUAUGUCACACAGCUAAUGACAGGGAUGAAUAAUAGAGCCUUUAAAGCCCUUACUCCCACCUCAUUCUGGCCUGCACAUAAGCUAAAGCACUGGGUGAGCAGCGAGCCAUCAAGCCCCUCUCCGAGAUGAGAUGGGCUCCCAAGAAGAUUUGGGGGGGAUGGAGGGAAUCGGAUUAACCCAAAUGCCUCAAUUGGAAUAAAUGCUCUGGGCUGACCCAAGUGUAAUACCAUUGAUAAAUGCUGUAAACCAAAUCUUUAGCAUCUGAUUAGGUAGCGGAGGAUAACGCAUCCUUUUUAGCCAACAUUAGCUGUGGUGAGAUAGCCCGGAACAUGACGUGAGGGUUUGUACGAGAAUGUACGGAAACAUGUACACGCCGAGUUUGUUAUGAGCAGUCGAGGACUUUUACAAAUAGCCAAGUUGCUCUUAUAGAAAUAAAUAAAUGGGGGAAUAAUAAAUCGCCAGAAGCUGCGGACAGGUGGCAUUUCAGCCUGCACCAUUUAGCUGUGCAGUCUGGUUCCUGACAGCUUGAUUUAGUCUCCUGCACCUGAGCCAGAAAGGAGAGAAAAUUAACGGCAGGAAAAAACAGCUUAACUAGAUUCCAAUUUACCUGCUUUGAAACAUAAUGAUGAAGCUAUUCUGCAGGAUGGACCUUUUUGGUACCUGUAGCAAGACCAUUGAGAUCAGGCAAAUGUUGUGCAAACCCAUUCACACGGAUAGAGGCAUGGCACAGCCAAGGAGGUAGCACAACUCUGCCAUCUGAGCCUGGUUGUGUUCAAGGGAGACAUUAGGGUUUUGUCUUUAGGGUGUAAAAUAGAGAUUAAAGUGUCUCAAGGGGAGAUGCCAGGAUGUGUGCUGUUCUCCCUGCUGUGAACAGGGUGUAAUCCUUCAGUUUCAGAGAAGUGAAAAGUUUGUAGAGUCCAGAAAGUUACGCAUACAUCCCUUCUGGGCCCCCGACAGAGCAGAGAGUGGGAAACAGCAGGGGAUAACCAUAUGUUAUCAAAGUGUUCUUCAAAGCUCCCGUCUUUAGUCCACUAAAUUAUACAGUAUCAUCACAUACUGUAUACCUGACAAAAAUAGAAGAAACAUAAUUAUGCAGCUCAAUGUACAAACACACACAAAAUCAUUUCUUGAAAAGUAUGUUUUAAGAAAAGUGUUGCCUUUGAAAAAUGAGGGGACGUUUUUUGGUUUCCUGCAAUUUCUUACCAGUGGCCAUGUCCUGAUGGUGUGGGUCAGCUCAUGAUUUUGUAUUUACAUGCUUUUAAAAUACUGCUGCUGCCGGACAAUUAAAAAUUUAUGGUUCCUAUCACAAUGAGCCCCUUCUGUUUCCAGAGGUUAAUUUGUGCUCGCCCCUCAUUUCAAUUGUACUGUAGUAAAUGUCCACAUUAUUUCCCACAUGGGCCUGGACCAGGGGUUUGAUUAUCCAAAGGUAGGCCACGGUUGGCUCUGUUAUUGUCAGAGGGGUCGUAAGCUGCAGUAACGGCUUCUAGGGUCUUAUUGCUAUGGCGAUCAGCCCCUUGCCACUUGGCCUCCAUGACCCCAGUCAGAGAUAAGCUUUAUAGGAAAGCACAUUAACAUGCUCUGGCAGUCACCUCCCUCCUUUAUCAAAGGCAAUUCUAUGAAAUCAAGUGUUUAUGGAGCCCCAGUGAGGGUAUAGAGCUGCUGAUUGCCUACAUUAGAGGUUGAGUGUAAAUGAGCUGGAGGUGGACAAUGGACCUGUAGUCAUGGGGAGAGCUGAGGAUGUGAUACUGAUGUUAUUCUCACUAAAUGAGCAAUAUUUUUUAAUGACUGCAACACCCCAAGAGCAGGUUACCAGCCCCGGCAUCACAAAUAUUGUCUGCAGUCUAAAUAUAUCCAUGUCUUCCACUCUUUCUACAAUAACUGACACUACCAUAACAAACGUUUAAUAUGCUUCUAGAUAUGAUGUAACAUUAUAUCUUGGAGUUAUUAAGUAUGUUGCUGUAGACUGUAAGUAACAUAACCUUCCUUUAUUGUUGCGCUACACCGGUUCUAUUCACAAAAUUGUCAAAAGGAUGUCUUUUUUAUUUCCUUGCGCAUCUGUUACAUUUAUACAGACAUUUUCCUGUGGCUAGGAACACAAAACUAGAGGUGUCAGAGGUGUGUGCCUGCUUACAGCCUGAUCACUGCUGAAAGAUCCUUUCAGUGCGUCUACAGUGAUGGAUGGUGAUAGCCCUGUGUCUUUGUACACAUCAGGGGGCUCUACUGUUGUCACUGGACAGAUAGAGGGAGCGAGAAAGAGAAAGAUGUAGCCGCAGCUUAAUGUCCUUCUCUGGUGCUGUGCAUGCUCUUUCCUAUUUGCUUUUCCCUUCACGGCACGGUUAACAUCGUAAAUUAACCUUUUCAAGUCCCCCGUGCUCAGAGACUGGUGCGCAGUAUAGACAAAGGAGAAAAAUAGAUCUGUGUUAUGCAAUGCGGUAGCACCGGUUAGUGAUGUAGCCUGUUACAGAAUCGAGCUCUUCCUUCUUCUUCUUCAGUGAUAGGGAAUAAAAAAUAAAUAACCACACUUUCCUCAGACGAGCAAACAUGUUAUUUUACGUGCAUGUCCUGUGUACUCUGCAUAUCAGUGUGAGGCUGCUUUUUGUUCUCCAUCCUAGAAAUGUAAAUGAAACACAUGAAAGAAAACAUACUGUAGAUCCCUCUGUUCUUAGUUCAAGUCUGUAAAUAGGAUGUAAAUAACAAACAGCUAUGCAUGCUAAUAUACAAGCAAUUUGUUCAGGUACUUUUGUAAUCCAGACUUCUCAUAUGGCAUGUAAUGAUGAAAAAAGCAAACAUGGAAAAAACAUAAUAAAUUGUGAACACAAAUAUGGUUUGUAAACAACUUCAAAACUGGAAAAUAUAUGUCUUUGCUGUUAAUGUUUUCUUACUGACGACUAAUGCAUUGGCCUGCCAUUUACUACAGUGCUCUGCUCAUGCUACUUUUUUAUGUUUCAUAAGAUAGGGCCGAGGCAAAAAGGACCAUAAAUCACUGGUUUGUGGAAGAGCCGGGUUGGGGGAAUAAGAAGAUGAGGGGAAGGAUGGCCGUCUGACCAUGUCGUUUUUUCCAUUGCCGCUGCACAUUCACAUGCACACACUUAAUUGAUGACAUAUCCUUAAUGUCGAACACAGACAAUAAAAUACCAUGGCAAAAACCGUUAAGCUUAAAAGCAGUAGAAACUGGCCUGCCAUUUGAGUUAUCUCACCAAAAAAGACCAAUCACCAGCUUUAAAGUGUGCUGUUAUUUUAAAAUAGUACAUAUUUGUUUCUGAUAAGCGAAUGCAAAAUCAUUAAAUAAACUACGAAGCUGGAGCAAGCGAUUUUGACUCAUUCCAAAUUCUCCAAAUCAUGAGGCAACGGGGAGAUUUUUGAAAACUUUGACAGAUUUUGUUUGCUCGUUUGUAAUAUAUGUCCAGUGAAAAACGAUGACCUAAAUGCCAAAUUUGCCUCUGCCCUAGCAAACUCCAAUGUGACAAUUUAUGAAGACAGAGAUGGAUGAAGUAUGAAGAAAAUCUUUCUGGUUUCUAAGAGUGUUUAUUUUCCACCAUGUUUAGAACCAUGUUAAAUCCCAAGGCGCUAAUGGUAGAUGGAAGUGUCUAAUUUUUAACCUGUGCUAAAGAUAUUUUAAAUUUAAUAAAUAAUUAUUGUAACAAGAAAA